GCCAGCAUUCAGUUGGGCACUCUAAGGUGACUGCCGGCUAAAAGUCGGAGGAAGGUGGGGAUGACGUCAAAUCAUCAUGCCCCUUAUGACCUGGGCUACACACGUGCUACAAUGGGCGGUACAAAGGGUCGCGAACCCGCGAGGGGGAGCCAAUCCCAAAAAGCCGCUCUCAGUUCGGAUUGCAGGCUGCAACUCGCCUGCAUGAAGCCGGAAUCGCUAGUAAUCGCGGAUCAGCAUGCCGCGGUGAAUACGUUCCCGGGCCUU
RNAcentral lists this ribosomal RNA (264 nucleotides) under uncultured Anoxybacillus sp. RNAcentral's name for it is "partial 16S ribosomal RNA". It matches the Rfam family "Bacterial small subunit ribosomal RNA", at positions 1117 to 1382 of the family's 1533-position model. The record is from RNAcentral. Lineage: Bacteria; Bacillati; Bacillota; Bacilli; Caryophanales; Anoxybacillaceae.